This is a long non-coding RNA of Oncorhynchus keta (chum salmon), 1282 nucleotides long. RefSeq lists it as uncharacterized. The transcript has 8 exons. The record is from RefSeq and is a predicted model, not a curated record. NCBI's taxonomy places the organism in Eukaryota, Metazoa, Chordata, Actinopteri, Salmoniformes, Salmonidae.
ACCAGGUGUUGUAACAGGGUCACCAGGUGUUGUAACAGUGUCACCAGGUGUUGUAACAGGGUCACCAGGUGUUGUAACAGGGUCACCAGGUGUUGUAACAGGGUCACCAGGUGUUGUACCAGGGUCACCAGGUGUUGUAACAGGGUCACCAGGUGUUGUACCAGGGUCACCAGGUGUUGUAACAGGGUCACCAGGUGUUGUAACAGGGUCACCAGGUGUUGUAACAGGGUCACCAGGUGUUGUUGUCAGUACUGUACCUGAGUAACUUGUUGUAACAGGGUCACCAGGUGUUGUAACAGGGUCACCAGGUGUUGUGUUGUAACAGGGUCACCAGGUGUUGUGUUGUAACAGGGUCACCAGGUGUUGUAACAGGGUCACCAGGUGUUGUAACAGGGUCACCAGGUGUUGUGUUGUAACAGGGUCACCAGGUGUUGUGUUGUAACAGGGUCACCAGGUGUUGUGUUGUAACAGGGUCACCAGGUGUUGUGUUGUAACAGGGUCACCAGGUGUUGUAACAGGGUCACCAGGUGUUGUAACAGGGUCACCAGGUGUUGUAACAGGGUCACCAGGUGUUGUGUUGUAACAGGGUCACCAGGUGUUGUGUUGUAACAGGGUCACCAGGUGUUGUGUUGUAACAGGGUCACCAGGUGUUGUAACAGGGUCACCAGGUGUUGUAACAGGGUCACCAGGUGUUGUAACAGGGUCACCAGGUGUUGUGUCAGGGUCACCAGGUGUUGUAACAGGGUCACCAGGUGUUGUAACAGGGUCACCAGGUGUUGUAACAGGGUCACCAGGUGUUGUUGUCAGUACUGUACCUGAGUAACUUGUUGUAACAGGGUCACCAGGUGUUGUAACAGGGUCACCAGGUGUUGUAACAGGGUCACCAGGUGUUGUUGUCAGUACUGUACCUGAGUAACUUGUUGUAACAGGGUCACCAGGUGUUGUUGUCAGUACUGUACCUGAGUAACUUGUUGUAACAGGGUCACCAGGUGUUGUUGUCAGUACUGUACCUGAGUAACUUGUUGUAACAGGGUCACCAGGUGUUGUUGUCAGUACUGUACCUGAGUAACUUGUUGUAACAGGGUCACCAGGUGUUGUAACAGGGUCACCAGGUGUUGUAACAGGGUCACCAGGUGUUGUAACAGGGUCACCAGGUGUUGUUGUCAGUACUGUACCUGAGUAACUUGUUGUAACAGGGUCACCAGGUGUUGUUGUCAGUACUGUACCUGAGUAACUUGUUGUAACAGGGUCACCAGGUGUUGUAACAGGGUCACCAGGUGUU